Molecule: ribosomal RNA, 497 nt
Filed under: uncultured bacterium
Lineage: Bacteria
Description: partial 16S ribosomal RNA
Rfam family: Bacterial small subunit ribosomal RNA
Source: RNAcentral
GAUGAACGCUGGCGGCGUGCCUAAUACAUGCAAGUCGAGCGAACAGACGAGGAGCUUGCUCCUCUGACGUUAGCGGCGGACGGGUGAGUAACACGUGGAUAACCUACCUAUAAGACUGGGAUAACUUCGGGAAACCGGAGCUAAUACCGGAUAAUAUAUUGAACCGCAUGGUUCAAUAGUGAAAGACGGUUUUGCUGUCACUUAUAGAUGGAUCCGCGCCGCAUUAGCUAGUUGGUAAGGUAACGGCUUACCAAGGCAACGAUGCGUAGCCGACCUGAGAGGGUGAUCGGGCACACUGGAACUGAGACACGGUCCAGACUCCUACGGGAGGCAGCAGUAGGGAAUCUUCCGCAAUGGGCGAAAGCUUGACGGAGCAACGCCGCGUGAGUGAUGAAGGUCUUCGGAUCGUAAAACUCUGUUAUUAGGGAAGAACAAAUGUGUAAGUAACUAUGCACGUCUUGACGGUACCUAAUCAGAAGGCCACGGCUAACUACGUG